GCUCUCGUAACUCAGAUGGUUAGAGUGUUGGUCUUAUGUGCCAAAAGUCGUGAGUUCAAUCCUCACCGGGAGCA
Molecule: transfer RNA, 74 nt
Filed under: Yellowstone lake phycodnavirus 2
Lineage: Varidnaviria; Bamfordvirae; Nucleocytoviricota; Megaviricetes; Algavirales; Phycodnaviridae
Rfam family: tRNA
About the family: Transfer RNA (tRNA) molecules are approximately 80 nucleotides in length.
Source: Rfam by way of RNAcentral